This 302-nucleotide ribosomal RNA is filed under the name Eutreptiella gymnastica. RNAcentral describes it as "partial Bacterial small subunit ribosomal RNA". It matches the Rfam family "Bacterial small subunit ribosomal RNA", at positions 202 to 523 of the family's 1533-position model. The record is from RNAcentral. Lineage: Eukaryota; Euglenozoa; Euglenophyceae; Eutreptiales; Eutreptiaceae.
AAAGAUUUAUCGGAGAAGGAUCAGCCCGCGUUAGAUUAGAUAGUUGGUGGGGUAAUGGCCUACCAAGUCUACGAUCUAUAGCUGGUUUUAGAGGAUGAUCAGCAACACUGGGACUGAGACACGGCCCAGACUCCUACGGGAGGCAGCAGUGGGGAAUAUUGGACAAUGGGCGCAAGCCUGAUCCAGCCAUGCCGCGUGAGUGAUGAAGGCCUUAGGGUUGUAAAGCUCUGUCGUGAGGGAAGAAGAUCUGACGGUACCUCACAAGAAAGCACCGGCUAACUCCGUGCCAGCAGCCGCGGUAA